CUACCAUGGCGUUCACGGGUAACGGAGGAUUAGGGUUCGAUUCCGGAGAGGGAGCCUGAGAAACGGCUACCACAUCCAAGGAAGGCAGCAGCCGCGUAAAUUACCCAAUCCUGACUCAGGGAGGUAGUGACAAGAAAUAACAAGCGGUGGCCUAGCCACCGAAUUGCAAUGAGCCGAAUUUACACCAGUUAGCGAGGACCAAUUGGAGGGCAAGUCUGGUGCCAGCAGCCGCGGUAAUUCCAGCUCCAAUAGCGUAUAUUAAAGUUGUUGCAGUUAAAAAGCUCGUAGUUGGAUUUCUGGCGGGGACCCAAGUACCCCUGCAGGGUGUGCUCGGGCCCGGCCAUCCUUCUGUCAACCCUCACGGUCGUUUACUCGUCCGAGUUGGUGAUCAGAUAAUUUACCUUGAGAAAAUUAGAGUGUUUCAGGCAGGCUUAGCCGGAAUACAUUAGCAUGGAAUAAUGGAAUAGGACUGAUGUCUCGUUGUUGGUUACGCGGACAACAGUAAUGAUUAAUAGGGACAGUUGGGGGCAUUAGUAUUUAUUAGCUAGAGGUGGAAUUCUCUAAUUUGAUAAAGACUAACUUAUGCGAAAGCAUUUGCCAAGGAUGUUUUCAUUAAUCAA
Molecule: ribosomal RNA, 620 nt
Filed under: Ciliophora sp.
Lineage: Eukaryota; Ciliophora
Description: SSU rRNA
Rfam family: Eukaryotic small subunit ribosomal RNA
Source: RNAcentral